Molecule: ribosomal RNA, 852 nt
Filed under: uncultured Actinomycetes bacterium
Lineage: Bacteria; Bacillati; Actinomycetota; Actinomycetes
Description: bacterial SSU rRNA
Rfam family: Bacterial small subunit ribosomal RNA
Source: RNAcentral
GACGAACGCUGGCGGCGUGCUUAACACAUGCAAGUCGAACGGAAAGGCCUGCAGCUUGCUGCGGGUACUCGAGUGGCGAACGGGUGAGUAACACGUGGGUGAUCUGCCUUGCACUUCGGGAUAAGCUUGGGAAACUGGGUCUAAUACCGGAUAGGACAGCUGUUUAGUGUCAGUUGUGGAAAGUUUUUUCGGUGCAAGAUGAGCUCGCGGCCUAUCAGCUUGUUGGUGGGGUAAUGGCCUACCAAGGCGUCGACGGGUAGCCGGCCUGAGAGGGUGUACGGCCACAUUGGUACUGAGAUACGGCCCAGACUCCUACGGGAGGCAGCAGUGGGGAAUAUUGCACAAUGGGCGAAAGCCUGAUGCAGCGACGCCGCGUGGGGGAUGAAGGCCUUCGGGUUGUAAACUCCUUUCGACAGGGACGAAGCGUAAGUGACGGUACCUGUAUAAGAAGCACCGGCUAACUACGUGCCAGCAGCCGCGGUAAUACGUAGGGUGCGAGCGUUGUCCGGAAUUACUGGGCGUAAAGAGCUCGUAGGUGGUUUGUCGCGUCGUCUGUGAAAUUCCGGGGCUUAACUCCGGGCGUGCAGGCGAUACGGGCUGACUUGAGUGCUGUAGGGGAGACUGGAAUUCCUGGUGUAGCGGUGAAAUGCGCAGAUAUCAGGAGGAACACCGAUGGCGAAGGCAGGUCUCUGGGCAGUAACUGACGCUGAGGAGCGAAAGCAUGGGUAGCGAACAGGAUUAGAUACCCUGGUAGUCAUGCCGUAAACGGUGGGCGCUAGGUGUAGGGGGCUUCCACGUCUUCUGUGCCGUAGCUAACGCAUUAAGCGCCCCGCCUGGGGAGUACGGCCGCAA